RNAcentral lists this long non-coding RNA (894 nucleotides) under Anas platyrhynchos platyrhynchos (common mallard). Its description in RNAcentral is "lncRNA (ENSAPLG00000022599.1)". The record is from RNAcentral. Lineage: Eukaryota; Metazoa; Chordata; Aves; Anseriformes; Anatidae.
AAGCAGUAGUAUGGUCUUAUGGGAAUUGCAUACCAGGUAAAGUGGUUCCAGUCAUUGUUCUCUAAGCAGUAUUUCCACACACACCCCCACUAAAAGUUUUCCAGGUUAUAAGAAGUCAGUUAGAUGGCAUUAAUAGAGGGAAAAUUGUUUAAAAAGAAAGCCUAAGAGAUUAAUUCACUCUCUUUCCUUGUUUAUAGGCAAUCAAAAAUCUAACAUGAUUAUAAGGUAUUCAAGGGGAUGAAAAGCACACAACUUCUUAAAAAAGCCCUUUGCAGGUGAAAGACAAUUGUAAUUCCUUGCAACCAAAGUUACCUGCAGCACAGGUCACUUGUCAGAGUUCGUAACUGCCAUCUUCCUCUGCAUCUCCAGGACAAACUUUCCAUUGCAGUGGUCUUCUCAAUAUCUAAGAGAAGUUGGUGAAUAAGUUGAAAGCUCUUCUCAGUGUAGAAUAACAGCUGGGAACUAGGAAGAGAUCCAGUGUCAUGGGCCGUCCAUUGUCUGUAGGCACCAGCUGGCUCAUGAUCAAAAUGUGGGGCCCCCUGCUGAAAUUCCUGUGGUAACAAGAUCAAGUUCAUGCAGGAUGAUGUGUACUUCCAAAUUUAGCACUUACACAGUAGGAAAGAAUUAUUUUUGAGCUUUUCAGUUCUCUCCAUUGAUUUGAAGGAGGAGAAAAAUAAUGGACCACUUCCCAUCCAUUCUGAAAAGCUGGUGAGAUAUAUACUUAUUCAUCAAUAUACUUGAUUGCUGGUCCUGUCAGUAUGAACGUCUAUUGCAUUUUUCAAAACUGCUACAAACUGGUUAAGUUGUAAGUUCAGUCAAAUUUGUUAAAAUAUUUCUUGUAUCUUCAUAUUUUCUGUAACAUUACUUUCUGUAUUGGAAAUGAUUCAAGAGUGG